UAGUGGCGACGGGUGAGUAACACGUGGGCAAUCUGCCCUUCACUCUGGGACAAGCCCUGGAAACGGGGUCUAAUACCGGAUAACACUCUGUCCCGCAUGGGACGGGGUUAAAAGCUCCGGCGGUGAAGGAUGAGCCCGCGGCCUAUCAGCUUGUUGGUGGGGUAAUGGCCUACCAAGGCGACGACGGGUAGCCGGCCUGAGAGGGCGACCGGCCACACUGGGACUGAGACACGGCCCAGACUCCUACGGGAGGCAGCAGUGGGGAAUAUUGCACAAUGGGCGAAAGCCUGAUGCAGCGACGCCGCGUGAGGGAUGACGGCCUUCGGGUUGUAAACCUCUUUCAGCAGGGAAGAAGCGAAAGUGACGGUACCUGCAGAAGAAGCGCCGGCUAACUACGUGCCAGCAGCCGCGGUAAUACGUAGGGCGCAAGCGUUGUCCGGAAUUAUUGGGCGUAAAGAGCUCGUAGGCGGCUUGUCACGUCGGAUGUGAAAGCCCGGGGCUUAACCCCGGGUCUGCAUUCGAUACGGGCUAGCUAGAGUGUGGUAGGGGAGAUCGGAAUUCCUGGUGUAGCGGUGAAAUGCGCAGAUAUCAGGAGGAACACCGGUGGCGAAGGCGGAUCUCUGGGCCAUUACUGACGCUGAGGAGCGAAAGCGUGGGGAGCGAACAGGAUUAGAUACCCUGGUAGUCCACGCCGUAAACGUUGGGAACUAGGUGUUGGCGACAUUCCACGUCGUCGGUGCCGCAGCUAACGCAUUAAGUUCCCCGCCUGGGGAGUACGGCCGCAAGGCUAAAACUCAAAGGAAUUGACGGGGCCGCACAGCAGCGAGC
Molecule: ribosomal RNA, 828 nt
Filed under: Streptomyces sp.
Lineage: Bacteria; Bacillati; Actinomycetota; Actinomycetes; Kitasatosporales; Streptomycetaceae
Description: bacterial SSU rRNA
Rfam family: Bacterial small subunit ribosomal RNA
Source: RNAcentral